UACAGAGGUCCCGAGCGUUGUUCGGAUUUAUUGGGCGCAAAGGGUGCGUAGGCGGCGGAGUAAGUUGGGUGUGAAAUCCCGGGGCUUAACCUCGGAAUGGCAUUCAAUACUGCUUCGCUCGAGUACUGGAGAGGAGGCUGGAAUUUACGGUGUAGCAGUGAAAUGCGUAGAUAUCGUAAGGAAGGCCGGUGGCGAAAGCGAGCCUCUGGACAGUUACUGACGCUGAUGCACGAAGGCCAGGGGAGCAAACGGG
RNAcentral lists this ribosomal RNA (253 nucleotides) under uncultured bacterium. RNAcentral describes it as "partial 16S ribosomal RNA". It matches the Rfam family "Bacterial small subunit ribosomal RNA", at positions 524 to 776 of the family's 1533-position model. The record is from RNAcentral.